AGUGAACGCUGGCGGUAGGCCUAACACAUGCAAGUCGAACGGCAGCGCAGUAAGAGCUUGCUCUUACGGGUGGCGAGUGGCGGACGGGUGAGGAAUACAUCGGAAUCUACUUUUUCGUGGGGGACAACGUAGGGAAACUUACGCUAAUACCGCAUACGACCUACGGGUGAAAGCAGGGGAUCUUCGGACCUUGCGCGAUUGAAUGAGCCGAUGUCGGAUUAGCUAGUUGGCGGGGUAAAGGCCCACCAAGGCGACGAUCCGUAGCUGGUCUGAGAGGAUGAUCAGCCACACUGGAACUGAGACACGGUCCAGACUCCUACGGGAGGCAGCAGUGGGGAAUAUUGGACAAUGGGCGCAAGCCUGAUCCAGCCAUACCGCGUGGGUGAAGAAGGCCUUCGGGUUGUAAAGCCCUUUUGUUGGGAAAGAAAAGCAGCAGGUUAAUACCCCGCUGUUCUGACGGUACCCAAAGAAUAAGCACCGGCUAACUUCGUG
This 492-nucleotide ribosomal RNA is filed under the name uncultured bacterium. Its description in RNAcentral is "partial 16S ribosomal RNA". It matches the Rfam family "Bacterial small subunit ribosomal RNA", at positions 29 to 507 of the family's 1533-position model. The record is from RNAcentral.